Molecule: small nuclear RNA, 192 nt
Organism: Anastrepha ludens (Mexican fruit fly)
Lineage: Eukaryota; Metazoa; Arthropoda; Insecta; Diptera; Tephritidae
Product: U4 spliceosomal RNA
Exons: 1
Source: RefSeq, a predicted model, not a curated record
AGCUUUCCGCAGAGGCGAUAUCGUAACCAAUGAAGUUCUACUGAGGUGCGAUUAUUGCUGGUUGAAAAUCGAUAUGACGUCUCGGCGGGUGCUGGAGGGCGGUACUACUGGUUUUACCGGUUUAAGUGCUCUACUCACAGACAAGUGAUGAAGCUGUUGAAUCUGACGAAGAUAAAAUAAAAAAUAUAUUUU